RNAcentral lists this ribosomal RNA (254 nucleotides) under uncultured bacterium. Its description in RNAcentral is "partial 16S ribosomal RNA". It matches the Rfam family "Bacterial small subunit ribosomal RNA", at positions 524 to 776 of the family's 1533-position model. The record is from RNAcentral.
UACGGGGGGAGCAAGCGUUGUUCGGAUUUACUGGGCGUAAAGGGCGCGUAGGCGGCCAGCACAAGUCAGUUGUGAAAUCUCCGAGCUUAACUCGGAAAGGUCAACUGAUACUGUGCGGCUAGAGUGCGGAAGGGGCAACUGGAAUUCUUGGUGUAGCGGUGAAGUGCGUAGAUAUCAAGAGGAAUACCGGUGGUGUAGACGGCUCUCUGGACCGCCACUGACGCUGAGACACGAAAGCGUGGGUAGCAAACAGG